UACGUAGGGGGCAAGCGUUGUCCGGAAUCAUUGGGCGUAAAGAGCGUGUAGGCGGCCCGAUAAGUCCGCUGUGAAAGUCCAGGGCUCAACCCUGGAAUGCCGGUGGAUACUGUCGGGCUCGAAUCCGGAAGAGGUGAGUGGAAUUCCUGGUGUAGCGGUGAAAUGCGCAGAUAUCAGGAGGAACCCCAAUGGCGAAGGCAGCUCCCUGGACGGUAUUGACGCUGAGACGCGAAAGCGUGGGGAGCAAACAGG
This 252-nucleotide ribosomal RNA is filed under the name uncultured bacterium. Its description in RNAcentral is "partial 16S ribosomal RNA". It matches the Rfam family "Bacterial small subunit ribosomal RNA", at positions 524 to 776 of the family's 1533-position model. The record is from RNAcentral.